RNAcentral lists this non-coding RNA (18 nucleotides) under Arabidopsis thaliana (thale cress). Lineage: Eukaryota; Viridiplantae; Streptophyta; Magnoliopsida; Brassicales; Brassicaceae. The record is from RNAcentral.
AAUAGCCUAGCAAUGAUG